CGCGGGGUGGAGCAGCCCGGUAGCUCGUCAGGCUCAUAACCUGAAGGUCGCAGGUUCAAAUCCUGCCCCCGCCACCA
Molecule: transfer RNA, 77 nt
Filed under: Methylacidimicrobium tartarophylax
Lineage: Bacteria; Pseudomonadati; Verrucomicrobiota
Also listed under: 2 other names
Description: tRNA-Met
Rfam family: tRNA
About the family: Transfer RNA (tRNA) molecules are approximately 80 nucleotides in length. Their secondary structure includes four short double-helical elements and three loops (D, anti-codon, and T loops).
Source: RNAcentral